CCUACGGGUGGCAGCAGUGAGGAAUAUUGGUCAAUGGGCGCGAGACUGAACCAGCCAAGUAGCGUGAAGGAUGACUGCACUGCGGGUUGUAAACUUCUUUUAUAAAGGAAUAAAGUGAGGCACGUGUGCCUUUUUGUAUGUACUUUAUGAAUAAGGAUCGGCUAACUCCGUGCCAGCAGCCGCGGUAAUACGGAGGAUCCGAGCGUUAUCCGGAUUUAUUGGGUUUAAAGGGUGCGUAGCUGGGUUGUUAAGUCAGGUGUGAAAGUUUGCGGCUCAACCGUAAAAUUGCAAUUGAUACUGGCAGUCUUGAGUACAGUUGAGGUAGGCGGAAUGCGCGGUGUAGCGGUGAAAUGCUUAGAUAUCACGAAGAACUCCGAUUGCGAAGGCAGCUUACUAAACUGCCACUGACAUUGAUGCUCGAAAGUGUGGGUAUCAAACAGGAUUAGAUACCCCGGUAGUC
This 460-nucleotide ribosomal RNA is filed under the name uncultured bacterium. Its description in RNAcentral is "partial 16S ribosomal RNA". It matches the Rfam family "Bacterial small subunit ribosomal RNA", at positions 338 to 795 of the family's 1533-position model. The record is from RNAcentral.